RNAcentral lists this ribosomal RNA (253 nucleotides) under uncultured bacterium. Its description in RNAcentral is "partial 16S ribosomal RNA". It matches the Rfam family "Bacterial small subunit ribosomal RNA", at positions 524 to 776 of the family's 1533-position model. The record is from RNAcentral.
UACGUAGGGUCCGAGCGUUGUCCGGAGUUACUGGGCGUAAAGCGCGCGCAGGCGGUCAUGCGCGCCCGGCGUGAAAGCCCCCGGCUCAACCGGGGAGGGUCGUCGGGGACGGCAUGACUUGAGGGCGGUAGGGGCCGGUGGAAUCCCUGGUGUAGUGGUGAAAUGCGUAGAGAUCAGGGGGAACACCCGUGGCGAAGGCGGCCGGCUGGGCCGUCCCUGACGCUGAGGCGCGAAGGCGUGGGGAGCGAACAGG